RNAcentral lists this ribosomal RNA (1244 nucleotides) under uncultured organism. RNAcentral's name for it is "bacterial SSU rRNA". It matches the Rfam family "Bacterial small subunit ribosomal RNA", at positions 215 to 1456 of the family's 1533-position model. The record is from RNAcentral.
UCACUGAAGGAUCGGUCCGUCCCUGAUUAGCUUGUUGGUGAGGUAACGGCUCACCAAGGCGACGAUCAGUAGCUGGUCUGAGAGGAUGGUCAGCAACACUGGGACUGAGAUACGGCCCAGACUCCCACGGGAGGCAGCAGUCUAGAAGCUUCCACAAUGGACGAAAGUCUGAUGGAGCGACGCCGCGUGCGGGAUGAAGCCCUUGCGGGUGUAAACCGCUGUCAGCAGGGAAGAAUGCCCUGAUGGUGAAUCAGGGAGAGACGGUACCUGCAGAGGAAGCACCGGCUAAUUCCGUGCCAGCAGCCGCGGUAAUACGGAAGGUGCAAACGUUGCUCGGAAUUACUGGGCGUAAAGGGUGCGUAGGCGGUUUGAUAAGUCUAACGUGAAAUCCCACGGCUCAACCGUGGAACUGCGCUGGAAACUGUUGAACUUGAGGAUGGGAGGGGCAAGUGGAAUUCCUGGUGUAGCGGUGGAAUGUGUAGAGAUCAGGAAGAACACUCGUGGCGAAGGCGGCUUGCUGGCCCAUUUCUGACGCUGAGGCACGAAAGCCAGGGGAGCGAACGGGAUUAGAUACCCCGGUAGUCCUGGCCGUAAACGGUGGAUACUAGGUGUCGGGGGUAUCGGCCCCCUCGGUGCCGACGCAAACGCAUUAAGUAUCCCGCCUGGGGAGUACGACCGCAAGGUUGAAACUCAAAGGAAUUGACGGGGGCCCGCACAAGCGGUGGAGGAUGUGGUUUAAUUCGACGCAACGCGCAGAACCUUACCUGGGCUUAAACCGCAGGGUAAACCCCCUGAAAGGGGGGCUGCUUCGGCAAUCCUGUACAGGUGCUGCAUGGCCGUCGUCAGCUCGUGUCGUGAGAUGUUGGGUUAAGUCCCGCAACGAGCGCAACCCUUACUCUUAGUUACCAGCAUUUCGGAUGGGGACUCUAGGAGGACUGCCGUCGUAAGGCGGAGGAAGGUGGGGAUGACGUCAGGUCAGCAUGGCCCUUAUGUCCAGGGCUACACACGUCCUACAAUGGCGAGUACAACGGGCAGCUAGCUCGCGAGAGUCAGCAAAUCCCUUAAAGCUCGUCCCAGUUCAGAUUGCAGUCUGCAACCCGACUGCAUGAAGGCGGAAUCGCUAGUAAUCGCGGAUCAGCAUGCCGCGGUGAAUACGUUCCCGGGCCUUGUACACACCGCCCGUCACAUCACGAAAGUCGGCGGUACCAGAAGUCGCUGAGCUAACCCGCAAGGGAGGCAGGUGC